GCCUUCCUACUCCAAUUGGUAGAGAGAAUGCGUUUAGGCCGCAUACAGUGUCGGUUCGAAUCCGAUGGAAGGCA
RNAcentral lists this transfer RNA (74 nucleotides) under Janthinobacterium lividum. Its description in RNAcentral is "tRNA-Leu". It matches the Rfam family "tRNA". Rfam says of the family: Transfer RNA (tRNA) molecules are approximately 80 nucleotides in length. Their secondary structure includes four short double-helical elements and three loops (D, anti-codon, and T loops). RNAcentral also lists the same sequence under 1 other name. The record is from RNAcentral. Lineage: Bacteria; Pseudomonadati; Pseudomonadota; Betaproteobacteria; Burkholderiales; Oxalobacteraceae.